Molecule: long non-coding RNA, 1619 nt
Filed under: Macaca mulatta (Rhesus monkey)
Lineage: Eukaryota; Metazoa; Chordata; Mammalia; Primates; Cercopithecidae
Description: lncRNA (ENSMMUG00000064334.1)
Source: RNAcentral
CUUGGGAAGUGAUUUUUUCUAAGUGAGUCUGUUGAGAUUCAUUGAUUUAACAGUACUGUAUUUAUUGAGUGCCUUUUAUGUGCCAAGUGCUUGGGGUGCUGGGCAUAAUGCUAAUGCUAAUCUAGACCAUAUGUCAAGUGUAUGUGUACCAGGCAUGGGGCUAUGUGCCUUUCAUUCAUUACCUCAUUUAGAAAUCAUUAUAACUCUAUGAACUGGGUUUUCCUUUUACCCCAUUUUAUAGAUGGCAUAGUUGAGACCCAGGGAGCUUAAUUAAUUAUGCUUCAGGUCAUAAAACCAAUACAAGGGUUAGCUGGGAUUUGAACCCCAACAAUUUGGAGAGACAUAGGUCUCUUUAAAUGUAUGCUUCUCACCCUAGUUUAUGCCCUCAACAAACCCGCAGUCUAGGGAGGAUUUAGGCAAGUCAAUCAGUGAUGAAAUGUCAUGAUGAUGUAGGCUAUGAUGAGAGUAAGCUUAGGGCUUCUGGAAGUCCAGAGAAGAGACACCUAAUCUAGCCUGAGGAGGUACUCAUGGAAGGCUUCCUGGAGGAGAACUGAACAAGGAAGAAAUUGCCCCCAACUGCGGCUGGUCACCACCUUAAAACAUUGAAGGCAGUCAACCUACGAGCAAAGUCAGCACCAAGAGGAGGGCAGAAGCUGGAGGACUGCAGAGGAACUGCACUGCUGUUUCCCCCAGUUUGGGGCUUUUUCAUUAAGUGAAAAAGUGCAUUAAGUUGGUUUGAGUUUUGUUUUAUUUUUUAAGUAACAUUAAUUACAAGAAUUCCUGAUACAGAGGACAUCAGAGAUUACUUCCCACAGAAGAAUACAUCAGAUAUAAGACAAGGGAAUGUUGGAAAAGUUGAGGACAUAUGUCUGACUUCACUGUUGGGAGAAAGGAGCCAGAGAAAGAGGCCCAGAAACUAAGAUGAGGCCUAGAAAUACAAUGUAAGGUAGCAGUGAUCCAGGAGGGAAAAGCCCUUUAGAGAUGAUGAGCAGCUCGAUACAAACAUAGCCUUACCUCAUCUCAUCUCAUCAGCUGGAUGGUCCUGAUAAAUUAUAAGGAGUGGAGGAAGAAACAAUGAUAUCUGUGGAGAGGGAUGUUUUUGUCCUCCUUUGACAUGCUAGGCAUGUUCUAGAUCAUUUCUGGGAACUGGGACACACUCCACUGGCCAUCUAGAUACCCAGCAAACACAUCUUACCUUAUACAUGGUCAGUGGUCCAUGCUCUACUGAUUGCUAACUCCACCAAAGAGCUAUCAGUUAGGAAUGAAGGCAGGGGAAGUUUUGCACAAUCUAAGUAGUCGCUGGCUUUGGAUUUGAAAAAGAAAAUCCUCAACUCAACUAAGCAAUUUUCACUUUGAAAUUAAAUACAAGUUGCUGACCAGCUUUUGCUGAAGAGUUGGAGUGUAAGUGUGCAUGCACACACACAAAUAAUAACAAAACAGUGACUUUUGUACAUAAUACUAUGGUUUCAAGGAGAUCUCUGUGCCCCUGGUGGAACUUCUUACUCUACUCAGUCACCUGAAUGAAUGCAACUAUUCAUUCAAUCAUUUAUUUGUUUAAAAAAUGUUUAUUUGAGACCUAUUAUUGGCCAUGUAUGGUGUUAGGGAUGGGGGAUAUAAGA